GGGUGCGAUCAAACCAGCACUAAUGCACCGAAUCCCAUCAGAACUUCACCGUUAAACGUGCUUAGGCAAAGGUAGUACUUGGAUGGGUGACCUCUUGGGGAGUCUUCGUGUUACACCCC
This 119-nucleotide ribosomal RNA is filed under the name Cephalotus follicularis. The record is from RNAcentral. Lineage: Eukaryota; Viridiplantae; Streptophyta; Magnoliopsida; Oxalidales; Cephalotaceae.